GAGUUUGAUCGUGGCUCAGGAUGAACGCUAGCGGCAGGCUUAAUACAUGCAAGUCGUGGGGCAGCAGGUCUGUAGCAAUACAGAUGCUGGCGACCGGCAAACGGGUGCGGAACACGUACACAACCUUCCUUUAAGUGGGGAAUAGCCCAGGGAAACUUGGAUUAAUACCCCGUAACAUAUUGAAAAGGCAUCUUUUUAAUAUUAUAGCUACGGCGCUUGAAGAUGGGUGUGCGGCUGAUUAGGUAGUUGGCGGGGUAACGGCCCACCAAGCCUACGAUCAGUAACUGGUGUGAGAGCACGACCAGUCACACGGGCACUGAGACACGGGCCCGACUCCUACGGGAGGCAGCAGUAAGGAAUAUUGGUCAAUGGACGCAAGUCUGAACCAGCCAUGCCGCGUGGAGGAUGAAGGUCCUCUGGAUUGUAAACUUCUUUUAUCUGGGACGAAAAAAGGGAUUCUUUCUCACUUGACGGUACCAGAUGAAUAAGCACCGGCUAACUCCGUGCCAGCCGCCGCCGUAAC
RNAcentral lists this ribosomal RNA (523 nucleotides) under uncultured Sphingobacterium sp. RNAcentral's name for it is "bacterial SSU rRNA". It matches the Rfam family "Bacterial small subunit ribosomal RNA", at positions 9 to 524 of the family's 1533-position model. Lineage: Bacteria; Pseudomonadati; Bacteroidota; Sphingobacteriia; Sphingobacteriales; Sphingobacteriaceae. The record is from RNAcentral.